UACACUCCCGGCUAAUCUGGUGCUCGCGCACGCGUUCCGACGUGCGCAGUUAAACGGGAAACAGCGGUUCGAUGCAGCGAUGCGCUGCGGCGACCCCACCUGUGCUGCCCCCGCAACGGUAAGCGAACGUGUCGCUUGAGAGCGACACACGGCCGACUUCUACACAUGCGUGCCACGUAUGUGCAAGACCACUGCGCUCAACGCCUGUCCAUCCACAGGUUGCGCGGGAAGGUGAAGCGGCUUUUCGCCAGCCCGGAGACCGGCCGGAGAAGACGACACGCG
Molecule: non-coding RNA, 282 nt
Filed under: Paraburkholderia sacchari
Lineage: Bacteria; Pseudomonadati; Pseudomonadota; Betaproteobacteria; Burkholderiales; Burkholderiaceae
Source: RNAcentral